CAAAUUGCCAAUAAAUAUUUUAAAAGUGCAUGCCAGAGUAACGGAGAGACUUUGACAGCCCAGGUUAUCACAGUGCCUGCUGUUGCCACUCAGCUCUCCUAUAUGU
Molecule: small nucleolar RNA, 106 nt
Organism: Rattus norvegicus (Norway rat)
Lineage: Eukaryota; Metazoa; Chordata; Mammalia; Rodentia; Muridae
Product: small nucleolar RNA SNORA44
Source: Ensembl